UACGUAGGGGGCGAUCGUUGUCCGGAAUUAUUGGGCGUAAAGAGCUCGUAGGCGGUUUGUCGCGUCUGGUGUGAAAACCUCAGGCUCAACCUGGGGCGUGCAUCGGGUACGGGCAGACUAGAGUGCGGUAGGGGAGACUGGAAUUCCUGGUGUAGCGGUGGAAUGCGCAGAUAUCAGGAGGAACACCGAUGGCGAAGGCAGGUCUCUGGGCCGCAACUGACGCUGAGGAGCGAAAGCAUGGGGAGCGAACAGG
Molecule: unclassified non-coding RNA, 253 nt
Filed under: uncultured Promicromonosporaceae bacterium
Lineage: Bacteria; Bacillati; Actinomycetota; Actinomycetes; Micrococcales; Promicromonosporaceae
Description: contains 16S-23S intergenic spacer region
Rfam family: Bacterial small subunit ribosomal RNA
Source: RNAcentral